UGAUCCURCCAGUAGUCAUAUGCUUGUCUCAAAGAUUAAGCCAUGCAUGUCUAAGCCUAAAUCCUUGAAUGGUGAAGCCGCGAAUGGCUCAUUAAAUCAGCUAUAAUUGAUUAGAUGUUAUCUGAUCUACAAGGACAACUGUAGUAAUUCUAGAGCUAAUACUUGCCAAUUAUGUCCCGACCUUACGGAAGGGGCGGUUUUAUUAGAACAAAACCACCCAGGCUUCGGUCUGAGUAUUUUGUUGACUCUGGAUAAAAUUUACUAAUCGCACGACCUUGUGUCAGCGAUGUGUCUUUCAAAUGUCUGACCUAUCAGCUAUCGACGGUAGGAUAUUGGCCUACCGUGGCUAUAACGGGUGACGGGGAAUCAGGGUUCGAUUCCGGAGAGGGAGCUUGAGAAACGGCUACCACAUCCAAGGACGGCAGCAGGCGCGCAAAUUACCCACUCCGGCACGGGGAGGUAGUGACAAAAAAUAACAAUACGAGACUCUUUCGAGGCUUCGUAAUUGGAAUGAGUGCAGCUCAAAUACUUUUACAAGUAUCAAUUGGAGGGCAAGUCUGGUGCCAGCAGCCGCGGUAAUUCCAGCUCCAAUAGCGUAUAUUAAAGUUGUUGCAGUUAAAAAGCUCGUAGUUGAAUUCCAAGCGUGGAUUGGCUGGUUUAUCCUUUGGAUGUAACUGGCUGUCCUGCUUAGAAAGUCGUGAACUUUAGAUGAUCUUAACCGAUUGUCUUUUGUGAUCGGCAUGUUUACUUUGAAAAAAUUGGAGUGCUCAAAGCAGGCUGAUGCCUGAACAGUGUUGCAUGGAAUAAUGAAAUAAGACUUCGGUCUUAUUUUGUUGGUUUUAGAGAUCGAAGUAAUGAUUAAAAGGAACUGACGGGGGCAUCUGUAUACCAGGGUUAGAGGUGAAAUUCUUAGAUCCUUGGUAGACAAACUACUGCGAAAGCAUUUGGCCAAGAAUGUUUUCAUUAAUCAAGAACGAAAGUCAGAGGUUCGAAGACGAUCAGAUACCGUCCUAGUUCUGACCAUAAACUAUACCAUCUAGUCAUCUGUGGCGGUCAAUAUAAUAACCCCACAGGCAACUCCCGGGAAACCAAAGACUUUGGGUUCUGGGGGUAGUAUGGUUGCAAAGCUGAAACUUAAAGGAAUUGACGGAAGGGCACCACCAGGAGUGGACCUGCGGCUUAAUUUGACUCAACACGGGAAAACUCACCCGGCCCGGACACUGGGAGGAUUAACAGAUUGAAAGCUCUUUUUUGAUUCGGUGGAUGGUGGUGCAUGGCCGUUCUUAGUUGGUGGAGCGAUUUGUCUGGUUAAUUCCGAUAACGAACGAGAUUCUGGUCUGUUAAAUAGUACACUCGUAUUUGAUGCGAGUGCUGACUUCUUAGAGAGAUAAGCAGCUUUUAGCUGCAUGAAAAAGAGCAAUAACAGGUCUGUGAUGCCCUUAGAUGUCCGGGGCCGCACGCGCGCUACAAUUGACGUCUCAGCGAGUUUGUUCUGUUCGAGAGGAUAGAUAAAACUGUUGAAAUACGUCAAUGACCGGGAUUGUGGCAUGUAAUUAGUCACAUGAACGAGGAAUUCCCAGUAAGGGCACGUCAUCAGCGUGCGCUGAUUACGUCCCUGCCCUUUGUACACACCGCCCGUCGCUACUACCGAUUGAAUGGUUUAGUGAGGUUGUCGGAUUUGUGUUGGUGAUGGGGCAACCUAUUACUGACGUGGAGAAGACAAUCGAACUUGAUCAUUUAGAGGAAGUAAAAGUCGUAACAAGGUUUCCGUAGUGAACCBGCAGAUG
This 1787-nucleotide ribosomal RNA is filed under the name Cylindrostoma cf. paralutheri. RNAcentral's name for it is "SSU rRNA". It matches the Rfam family "Eukaryotic small subunit ribosomal RNA". Lineage: Eukaryota; Metazoa; Platyhelminthes; Prolecithophora; Pseudostomidae. The record is from RNAcentral.